UUGCACACCAAGGCAGGCCUGCAUAUCAGUUGGACCACCAUGGAGAAUGCUCCGCAAGCGAAGGUCCGGUCAAGUGAUUGCCAUGGGGACAGCCGACCAUGAGACAAAUCCAGAGAGUUGAUUUGUGCCGGCACAAGGUAAGUUUACCAUGGGACAAGCAUUUAGUAAGCAGGAUUUAUUUAUCUCAGGACUUAAACAGUCUCUCAAGACAUGAGGAACAAGGGUAAAAAAGAAAGAUUUUUUAAAGUUUCUUGAUUAUAUUGGGGACAUUUNUCCCU
Neotoma lepida (desert woodrat) is the source of this 278-nucleotide regulatory RNA element. It matches the Rfam family "Mason-Pfizer monkey virus packaging signal". From Rfam's summary of the family: The packaging signal is located in the 5' UTR and is required for specific RNA encapsidation. The record is from Rfam. Lineage: Eukaryota; Metazoa; Chordata; Mammalia; Rodentia; Cricetidae.